RNAcentral lists this ribosomal RNA (460 nucleotides) under uncultured bacterium. RNAcentral describes it as "bacterial SSU rRNA". It matches the Rfam family "Bacterial small subunit ribosomal RNA", at positions 338 to 795 of the family's 1533-position model. The record is from RNAcentral.
CCUACGGGGGGCAGCAGUGAGGAAUAUUGGACAAUGGGCGCAAGCCUGAUCCAGCCAUGCCGCGUGCAGGAAGACGCAUCUAUGGUGUGUAAACUGCUUUUGUACGGGAAGAAACACUCCUACGUGUAGGAGCUUGACGGUACCGUAAGAAUAAGGAUCGGCUAACUCCGUGCCAGCAGCCGCGGUAAUACGGAGGAUCCAAGCGUUAUCCGGAAUCAUUGGGUUUAAAGGGUCCGUAGGCGGUUUAAUAAGUCAGUGGUGAAAUCUGGUCGCUCAACGAUCAAACGGCCAUUGAUACUGUUAGACUUGAAUUAUAAGGAAGUAACUAGAAUAUGUAGUGUAGCGGUGAAAUGCUUAGAUAUUACAUGGAAUACCAAUUGCGAAGGCAGGUUACUACUUAUGGAUUGACGCUGAUGGACGAAAGCGUGGGGAGCGAACAGGAUUAGAUACCCCAGUAGUC